RNAcentral lists this ribosomal RNA (218 nucleotides) under uncultured Veillonellaceae bacterium. RNAcentral describes it as "partial 16S ribosomal RNA". It matches the Rfam family "Bacterial small subunit ribosomal RNA", at positions 133 to 334 of the family's 1533-position model. Lineage: Bacteria; Bacillati; Bacillota; Negativicutes; Veillonellales; Veillonellaceae. The record is from RNAcentral.
UCAGAGGGGGACGAACAGUUGGAAACGACUGCUAAUACCGCAUACGAUCUAACCUCGGCAUCGAGGAUAGAUGAAAGGUGGCCUCUACAUGUAAGCUAUCACUGAAGGAGGGGAUUGCGUCUGAUUAGCUAGUUGGAGGGGUAACGGCCCACCAAGGCGAUGAUCAGUAGCCGGUCUGAGAGGAUGAACGGCCACAUUGGGACUGAGACACGGCCCAG